RNAcentral lists this ribosomal RNA (422 nucleotides) under uncultured bacterium. RNAcentral's name for it is "bacterial SSU rRNA". It matches the Rfam family "Bacterial small subunit ribosomal RNA", at positions 355 to 774 of the family's 1533-position model. The record is from RNAcentral.
UGAGGAAUAUUGGCGAAUGGGGGCAACCCUGAACCAGCCAAGUCGCGUGAAGGAUGAAGGUCUUAUGGAUUGUAAACUUCUUUUACACGGGAAUAAAGCGGGGGACGUGUCCCUCUUUGCAUGUACCGUGUGAAUAAGGAUCGGCUAACUACGUGCCAGCAGCCGCGGUAAUACGGGGGAUCCGAGCGUUAGCCGGAUUUAUUGGGUUUAAAGGGUGCGCAGGCGGGAUGUUAAGUCGGCGGUGAAAUUUUGCAGCUCAACUGUAAAAGUGCCUUCGAUACUGGCCGUCUUGAGUGUGGAUGAAGUAGGCGGAAUUUGUGGUGUAGCGGUGAAAUGCUUAGAUAUCACGGGGAACUCCGAUUGCGCAGGCAGCUUACUAAGCCACAACUGACGCUCAUGCACGAAGGCGUGGGGAUCAAACA